AAGAAUGUUCAUUUAAAACCAAUCCUGUUUGAUACAGAAGGCCUGUUCCUAAGGCUCUUUAAAAGAAAAACCUCUCUUUUGUAAAACUUCUGUUUAAUAGAGUAAAUUAAGGAAGAAAAGGAUGAAAUAAUUUUGCCUGGGAUGCUUGCUCAGCUAUGGCCACUGAGAGAGUCCUAAGUCUGGAGCUCUGAUGCCAUCUUUGGUUAAACUAGGUGUAUAAGCUAUUGCUGCAUAGCAAAUCACCACAAAUUGUAGUGACUUUAGAUACCAAUAAAAAUUCAUUAUUUCAUACAGUGUCUGUGGAUCAGGAAUUCAGGAGUGGCUUAGUUGGGUGGUUUUGGCUCAGUGUUUCCAUAAGGUAGCAACUAAGACAUCCACCAGGGCUACAGUCAUCCGAAGGCUACAGUCAUCUCACUGAAGCCGGAUGAUCCACUUCUAAGAUAGCUCACUCAUAUGGAUGGUGAGUUGGUGUUGGCUAAUGGCAGAAGACCUCAGUUCCUCACUAUGUGGACUUAUUCAGAAGGCUGCUUGAGUGUCCUCAUGACAUUGCAGCUACAUCUCCAUAGCAAGUGAUUCAGGGGAGCAAAGGUAGGAGUGGUGGUAUAUUUUAUCUUCUACCCUUGGAUGUCACACUCUAUUUCCUCAAUGUCCUAUUGACUACAUACUUCAGCUCUCUUCGGUGUGGGAGAGGAUCCACAAGAGCAUAAAUACCAGGAAGCAAGAAUCACUGGGGGUCUGCUUGGAUGCUGGCUAAUAUUAAGACAUAUUAAGCAUGAGUUCAUCUGUGAUCUCAUUGGAGUAUCCUCUAAAAAGCCAGUUUAGAGGACUAAACAUCAUGCAUCUGAUAAGAAGAAAGCAAGAGAUAUGGAGUGGUACAGUUAACUUUCUAGUUAUUUGUAGAUUUAGAAUAAAUAGCUGCCAUUAUUCAUAUUCAUCGUUAAGUGAUUAAGCCUAUAUUGAAGUGUACAUGACUAUGAGGAAGCUUUCAUCUCUUGGAGCUGGAUAUUUGUCCCAGACCUUACACUGGAUGACUGGUUCCCCAUUGUUGGUCUAUAGACCUGUGUUGUGUGAACUAGUAAGAAGCAACUUAAGUGUUUGUUAAAACGGAUACCAGGUUUCUACUCCUAGAGAUUCUAAGUCAGUACCUUUGGGAUCCAAUGUGCUAUCCCUCCUUAUCAGGCAACAGUAGGCUCAGGUUCUGACAAGUGAGAAUCACGAUUAAUGGCGGUCAUAUUUGUUUGCUUAAUAUCUAUCCAUGAUCUUUUUCUUUGCCUCAGAAAACCAACUCAAAACUGGGCACUCAGUUGCUGAGGGCUAGAAUUGACAGUUGCCAAUGUUGUUUACAUGCCAUAUUGUUAAAAGGGGCGUAGAUCGUAGAAAGCUCCCAUAUCAUAAGUGCUGCUAGAGAGGCAGAUAGAGGGUAGAGUUGCUGACUAAGAACAACAGUUUGAAAGACUAUGAUACACUGCUACAUCAGCACAUGCAAGGGCUGGUCACAUUACUACAUACAGAAAUAGUCACAUCCUGCAUAAAUCAUAGUCCAAUGGUUCUCAAAUGUUAGUAUCCAGAAGAAUCACUUGGGGAGUGUUGAAAAAUGCAGAUCUUCAAGCCUGCCCCUAGGAUUCUGAUUCAGUGGGUCUAGAAUACCCCAGGCAGUUUCAAUAUACGUGAUCUGGGGACCACGCUCUGAGAUACACUAUCCUAGGCAUGACCUAAUUUAACUGCAGUAUAGUGACCUCAUAUCUGUUUAAUCCCCAGCAGCAAGAAUUUAAUAUAUAGAGUGAAAGGGGCUGUUUUAUAGAGUUUGCAUGGAUGACACCAGCUGAACUGCUGACAUGCAUGAGGGGUACAGUGAGAUCUGGGCAGGUGUGGAAGAGCAUUUUAUUAGCAUUAUUUUCAUAGAUAUUUACUCUCCUCCUGGAUACUAAGUUGUCAGAGGUAAGAUCUAUACAAGGUUUAAUUUUGCAGCUCCCCUAGAGGCUAGUGUAGUGCCCUACUUGCAGCAGGCUUGCAAUAGGUGUGUUAUUACACAGGAGGAAGUUCAUUUGAGGUGGCCAGGAAUUCUGGAUGGGAAUUAAUCCAUCUCACCCAGAGCAUGUUGCAUGUUGUGGUGACUGCUUUAUGACUCUGGAGUAUUGCCAAGCUCUCCUCUCACUUCCUUCUUCUCUCUUCCAAGUGUCUCAAGGUGGGUAGUGAUAGUGAAACAGUCAUGGCAUUAAUGACUGUCUCUAGGCUUGUGACUUUGGAGAGUGAAAUUAGAAUAAGAGCUGAAGAGUUGAAUAGAGCACAGCUAAAGCCUACAAAUUCCUGCUGAUGAAGGACAGGGCAAACAAAGACUAUUUCAGCCAUACUGAACACCUCUGUUUCCGUCAGCCAAGAACAUCUGGGCAUGCCAGUGUGGCAGACACAGAGCCAACAACAUGGUCAAGAAGACACUCAAUGGCAGACAGUAAAGCAGCAAUAAUUUAUUGAGCUACUACCAUGUGCCAGAAUCUGUUCUAGGUGCCAGGGAUAUUAAGGUAAACCAAAUGGACAAGCUUACAUUUUAGCAAAAGAGAUAGAUAUUGAAUAAAUAAAUACAUAAUGCAAUGACACAUAGUGAUUAGUGCCAGUAAGGAAAAGAAAGCAGGUGAAGGGAAUAGAUACUAAAGUUAGAGUAAAUAUUCCAAAGUAGGCUGCUUUGAUAUAAUAAUGACAAUGACAAUAGUUGUUAUUAUAAGGAUUAUGAUAAUAAUUAUAACAAAUUCAACUAAUAUUUAUUGAGUACCUACUAUAUGCCACACACAGUUCUGGGCAAUGGAGAUACAAUGGUAAGACAAGACAAAUUUCCUGAUUUUGUGGUUCUUUUCUUUUUUUAGGCUGGGAAAAAGACCAUAAACAAUCAAAGACACACAAGAAACAUAUGAGAUAGUAAUACCCGGAGAAUUAUGAUAAGGAGUACUGUUAAAGUGACUGAGAAGGCUAAUUAAGUUUAGUUGAGGGAAUUCCUAAUAUUUAAACUGAAAUCUGAAUAACAAGGAGGAGCCAGAUAUGCAGAAAGCAUUCUGGGCCAAGUUGGGAGGGAACCAGGGCAAAGGCCCUGGGCUCAGAAAUCUGGGAAUAGGGAUAAGGCCAGUGUGGCUUUAUAAGCCUGGGGGGAUUGGGAGCCUGGUUAGAGUAAUUAAGGAGAAAAACAAUCUUCUUCCAUAGAUAUGAAUUUGAGAGCCAAUAUAACUCCUAGAAAACUAUUUUUCUUUCCAGUUGUAUAUUGCUUAGUUCUUCCAUCAGAGACGGGUAUAACAUUUGCAUUGAUCAAUUUGUAAUAUGAAUUUCUUCCUGUAAUUAGUUCUCCUUUCCCCAGCACCCCUGAGAAAAUCCAAAAUGCAGGGCAAGCAUUAUUAUAACAACAUUUUAUUAAAUAGUAUAAUUAACACAAAUAUUGUAUAGCAAUGUGCCAGUUAUUAAGUGUGUUGACUCAGGUAGUACCUGGGAAUUCUCAGUUAAUAUUAGACUGCAGGUCCAUUUAUCUUCCAUAACACUUUAGAAACAAGGUUUCUUUUCUUGGCUGGUAUUUGAGAUCUUAGGGUGUACUUUUUCUGUGGAUAGGUUCCCAGCCACCUGAACUUUGGAGCAGCCAGGGAGGUGCCCUCAGCCCUCAGUUGUCUCCACUUCCUAUUGCUGGGUGCUGCCAUCUCUUUAACUCCUUUCCAAAGAGUACUUUUUGUACGAUGGUCUACUCUCCAUCUAAGGUACAUGCAUCACUCAAAUCCUCUUUGUGUCUUUGGAGAGAGGAACAUUCCUUUUGUAGAUUUUCACCAUUUUUAUCUUUUCUCUAUUGCUUUUCCUGUGCCGUCUAGACAAUCAUUUCCCAUACUAUUGGGUCCUCUUUUCCCCAGUUAAACAUACAAGAGAUUCUGCUCACUCAUCCUCUACAUUUCACACAUCUCUAAAGUACCUUUCUAUUUACACUGGUUACAGAAAUAUAUGUGAAGCUCAAUGGGAUAGAUUGUGUGUGCAUAGAAAUUGACUUAUAUGCUGAAAAUGCAAUGAAAAUCUUUAAUGUAAGUUUACUGUAUAUUUGAAGGUAAUGUAUAUUUAUUCUCUAAAAUACUCUUAGUAACUUUCACAUUAUGAAUCACUAAACCUUAUGCUUCUCUAAAGAGGAAGCACAAUUUCUCGAAAUAGAGUAUUGUUUUUAGAAUGAAAAUUUAAUGUUUCAUGACCAAUUCAAAUCAGCUUUGAAAUUCUACACUACCACAGCCCUGACAAGAUUUAAAAUGCAAAUGCUCCCCAUAAGGAACAAAUGUCUUUUCAAUUAUUAAAAUUGAAUUUCAAGAUUUGUAAUGGUUUCUAUGAUAAAAAUGUUUAAAUAUAGCUGAGAAAUAGCUCUUAAAUUCUAAUAAUUAAAAAGGACAAAAGCAGAGACUUGAAGGCAAUAAUAAGAGCAAAGAUUGAGUUACAAAAACUAAAAUGUAUUUAAUUUUCAUCAAAGUUCCGAGGAAUUGCAUUAAAAGCAUUAGGGUUGGGAGACAGACUCUUCUCUUACACUCACACAGACACAGUUGAGCCAAUAUGCUUUCUGAUCUGUAAGAAUUAAGCUCAUCUUAGUUACUGAAAUUAGAGACAGGAUGCUGAUCUUAGUUUUGCUUUCCAACUUGGAGACUGUUUUUGAGAAGCCAGAAUAAUGGUUAAAUGUUUUUUAUGUUCUAUAAAAUAGGUAUAAUGAUAGUCAAAUGUUUACUGAAUUUCUGCCCUGUGCUUUUUGCCCAGAACUUUGCUGUGGAUAUGAGGGAUAUAAAAGAACUAGAAGGUAGGGUAUCUGCCCUUGGGAAGUUUACCAGGGAGCUGGAAAGAAAAGUCUGGUGUUACAUUACACAACUCGAAAACAGUACUCACCAUUAUACACUUAAGCACUAGGUAGUGUACAGAGACACAAAUAAUUACAAAAAUCAACAGAAAGGAAUGUCAUUAAUCUUGUGAGGGGCUGACAUGGAAUGCUUCAUGGAAGAGGAGGCAUUUAACUUGGCCUGGAGGGAAAUACAGAAUUUGGCAUCAUUUUCUUUUUACUGUAAUGGUAAUAACUCGUUUUUAUUAUAAUAAUGAUUAGCUGUCUGUCGGCUCACAAAUUAGAGGAUGGAAAAGCAUGACAAACCCACAGGGUAACUAUGUUUUAAAAGUCUUUUUUAAAGGAAUCAGAAGGGAGAAAGAGAAAGCCUUUCUAAGAGCCUAGGCUUGGGGGAAAAUGUAGGAGGUACAGAAGAGAAUUAAUGGGUAAUGCUUAUCGUUUUGUACAAAGUAACCUUGACACAAAUGGGGCAAUUUAAAGAAGGUAAGCGACUCCCAGCCCACUCACCCAGGUUGAUGGAGGAUAUAAUCAUGGGGUUGAUGGCAGAUUGGAGAAAGAAGACCCAGGGAAGCUUUUCUCCCUCCAUUAUGUGUAUUUCUCAUCUAGAGGUAGGAAGCUUGUAGCUGAAGACACGUUUUAGAAAUUCAGCCCUCUCUACUUUCAAAUCAUUUUAGGUAAGUAACUCAAUCCAACGACAAAUUAGAUGCACCUCUUUUCCCCUUCCUUUCUCAAGCUCUAUGCAGAGAUGCAAGCAUUGUCAUACUACUGACAUCAGAGAGGUUGAAGUGAUCAAAACCAGUUAGAGAAACCAAAAUAAUGGUAAAUAAUUUUUUGAUGACAAACAGUGUGUUGCAGUAGGUGAGUUAGGGGUGUGACGAUUCCAGUGUUCAUGAGUGAGGAAAGUAGUAUGGCUCUAAGUCAGUGGUUUUCAACCUUGGCUAAACAUUAGGAUCCCCUGGGCAGCUUUAAAAUUACUGAUGCCCAGCCCCUCCCACCACUCCAGGGAUAUCAUUGGUCUGAAAAGUGGUCUGGGCACUGGAUUUUCUAAAGCUCUCCCGGUCAUUCUAAUGUUCAGCAAACUUGAGAACCACUGCUCUAAGGGCUGAUUUAAAUGAAUUGCACCCAAACAGCUUGUUAAACCGCAGACUGCUGGAUACCACCAUCUGAUUCAUUAGCUCUUGGAUGGGACCCAAGAAUUUGUAGCUUUCAAAUGUCCACAGGUGAUGCUGAUGCUGCUGGUCUGGGGACCACACUUUGAGAAAUACUGAUUCAAGCCAGUCCAGGUUAUACUAAGCAUUUCCUAAAGUUUGGCCUUUGAACUUACCUGUUAAAAUGUGGAUUCUGAGUACCUUCCUCAACCCACUGAAUUAGAAUGCCUGAGGAUCUGUAAUUUUAAAGGAGAUUUCCAGGUUUUUAUUUUGGACUCUAUCACUUGUGAACUAAUGUGCAACUUAAUAGUUUUGUUUCUUUUGUAUCUUGCUCCAAAUAUUAUUUUUACAUAAAUUGUAUGUGUGACCAUAUGAGGAUUUUGGUAAUUAUUUUAUGCUAUUUUUUUAAUGGGAAAAACUCUGUAGACUGAAUUGUAUUAGAUACUCUGAGGUAGUAACAGAUAAAACCUGCAGGAAAAGGCUUUAUUAUGGGGAUUAUGGCACAAUAACAGACCCAUCUGUUCAUGCAGUGGGAGCAAUCCUAGCUGUAUGUGAGAUGUUUUGGAAGCAACUUCUAAAAGCAUGCUUUGCAAGUUCAACAUACUUAGGUAAUUGCACUCCACACGGGUAGUGUAAAGGAUGGAAGAGCAUCUCUCAAAUUUUAGAGGCUGUUAGAAUGACCAGGGCUACUUGCUAAAAGUUAGACUCCCAAAUCACAGCUCCAAAGAGUUUUAAUCCUGCAUAGCACUGAGGAAUUUCUAUUUAACAAAAAUAAGUGAUUCUGAUACAGUAGGUCCCGGAAACUCAUUUUAAGAAAUAUGGGCUAGGGACUAUGAAGGAGAAAAAUUGUUUUCAUAGUUGACCUGAGUGGCUAAUAAAGAAUUUGCUAUAUAUUGACUAUUUUUUCAUUUCCUGUAAGUCAGUGUCCUAAGAACUAAAUAUAAGUGUCAGCUAAAAUGUUAAUUCUCAGGAUAUAUUCUUUAGGUGGGCAAUAUUAUUCCCCCACUUGUUUCUUUCACUCUGAUUUAGACAUUGUGUAGCUUUGCUUUUUCAUCUCUUUCUUAUACUAUUCUUCCUUUUAUAAAGCAAAUGGAGGAGACACAUGGUUAAAAUGAGGACCAGUCAAUUUUGGACUUAACUGGAUUUUUCCCCCUUUAUUGCCUUGACUGCACCAUCUUAUUUUUCUUCCUUUUUUUCCCUCAUAGUUCUCUGUUCUCUUGCCCAAUCCCUCCCCACACCAGUCCAUGUUCCAUCUCCACUCUGGGCUGUUUUUCCUUGGUGAACUUUGUGGCCAUUUCAGUGGGCAGGAAGGGAAAGAAGGUCACUGGGGACCAUGUCAAUCUAUGGUCUCUCCUCAGGAGUGUGUGGUAGUGGCAGAAGGUUAGCAGGCCAGAAGAAGAAAAACCUACACAAGUCCUCCAUGACAUCUUGGUUUGUGAGUGCAAGGUUAGUAGAAGCAAAUAAAGCAAAACUCAGCAUUCACAGGUGAGAGGGAGACUAGCCUGGGAGAAAAUUAUACAACAAUCAAUAUUUUGUUAUUAAGAGUCUCCGUGCAAGGAAAACCUGUGAAAAAUGAAUCUUAACUGCUUUACAAUAUGGCUGGCCAUUCUUACCAAGUUAACUCUCAACUGUUUUAGCUCACAAUAGACGUGAUAGGAUUAUGUCUUUUUCUUUCACGUUUCAGACUUCCUUUAUCUUCACCUGCUAAAAUAUUAGCUUUCACUGAAGAAUCAUCCCCCAGUCAGAAGGAAGGAAAGAGCUGGUGGAGGAGGAACUUUUAUUGAUUGUGUUGAUGAUUAAGGUGUGGCAGCAAGGUCUUUUGUGGUUGGCUCAUCUGUUGUCAUGGAAACCCACCAUAGUGGCAAAGCCCAGACAAAGUCUGAGGGUUUUAACCAUCAAAAUGGAGGAUUGCAAUGUGUUCUGAAUUGCACAGACAGGAGGAGAAGUGAUGUGUAUUCUUUACAUGCUUCUUCCACUCUGGGUUGGGUUCAACCUGUAACAAGAAGUUGAGAGUUUAGUUAGUUAAAACUGUUCUCUCUAUCUUUGUAUUUUUGGUUCUCCUGUUGAGGCUAGUGCUAAAGUGGAAUUGCCAAAUCUGAACUGGGACAAAAAGCAGAGUGUGGACACAAACAGGUUCCAUAUAAGUCCUUAUGGGGAGGUGGGUAAGGGUGGUUCCCAAAGACUAAGGUAGUUAUUUUGUUAAAAUAUAGACAUGUGCGCACACACACCCACAAAGAAGAGAGAGAGCCAAGAGAUAUCAUAGAGAAUGAACUGGAGUGAUCAGGUUUUAAGGUGGAUAAAGGGAAGAGUGAGGAAAAUAGCUAGAGAAGUGGCAAUGUGAGGGAGAGAAAAUAGUCACACAGAGACAGUAACCUUCAAGAUGUCUGUCUUCACAGCAAGAAGAAUACUGGAGACUUUUCCAUGGAGAAAAACUGUAGGAAUGUUCAGUUCAGGUUGCUGCCACCAACAGAAGGGGGAUUUCUUCCUAGGGCCUUCCGAGACAUCUGAUAUUUUGCUCAUCUCACCCCUGAACUCAAGACUCUUCCUUUUACAUUACAGUAUUCUUUUAGGAAAUAUUUGUUUCUCGAGCUUCUCUUUACUUUUUAAGGUAUCUCCCGCACCCAUUUUUUCCCUAGAGCCUGAAUCACUUGAGUAAGAUAUAUCAAGUAAAGAAGAUGAUAAAGUGAUUUCUUGUAUCAAGGAUUAAAUCUAAGAUUAGGUUAAGCUCCAUGAAACAGAGAAACCACAUAUUGUAAAUUCCUAAUAAAAAGUUUUGAGUUUUGACCAAAGAGCUUUGUCCGUCUCCCACAAAUCCAGAACUUUGGAUCUAUUAUAUCAGCGGACUACUGUUUCUUUUCCCAAACUCAAAAGUUCAAACAGCUAGUAUACUCUUGUUAAUUGGUAUUGUUUCCAUUUUAUAGAUCAGGAAGCUGAGGCUAUUCACAGUUAUUGUACAUGCUUUGUCUAACUGUUAUUUGUAAACUUGCCUAUCAUUCCCAUGAUCUACCUCAUUGAGGCAGAAAAUGAACUUUGCUAAUUCUUGGCUCUCCUAUAUACACAGGGCUGUGCCUAUCUCAUAACAGAAGCUUAAUAAAUAUUGUCAAACUAGAUCGCAUGUUUUGUUUGAGUCCACAUAAGGAGAUAAUGAAAUAACUGGGGCUCAAUCUUCCCCUCUCUCUCAAGCUUCUUGAAUUGCAAUCAGGACAUAGCACAGUCUAAGCCUUCAAUAAAUACCUGUCAAUGGGUUGACUGAUGGACUGAUUUAAGACUCUAUUAUAUUCUUUAGUACUUGUUCCAUGUGCUCCAACAAUGACUUUAGACCUUACUGAUUUGAUUGGUCAUAUUUUUAGACUUGUUCUUUCUAUUUUGACAAAAAGAAUAGACAAUAACGACUACAAGCGUAGUGACCUUCUGGAUUUGUUCCGGUGGAUAACCUUGAGAGAAUGUGAAUGAAUUUUCUUAACUUUUAAAAGAGACAAGACUUAGAGUGACAAGCUUGAUAAUUAGUCACCAUGGCCCCUUCACUCCUUUUAAUGUCACUUCUCAUGCUUUGCAUUGGUUCCUAAUCAGUCUAGAUUGUUAUUCUGAUUUACACGGUACCUUACUCUCCUUUUCUAGGUCAUUUGGGUCUUUGUCCCUCUUUGAUGUGUUCUAUCACCCACCUCCCUGCCUCCACCCCCAGCCUCUUAGACCCCUUCUCAUUUCCCCAUAGGUUUAUUUACUUUUUUAAGUUCUUAAUGUGCUAAGUCCUAUUUUACUGUCUCUGUUACCAAGGACAUUUUCAGUGAACCUAAGGAAGAGUGAGCUCACUAAAAGGCGGUGAACUAAUAAUCAUAAAAAUGAUCACGUCCAGACUUUGGCUUAAGCAAAAGAAAUUUGAAUGUAUCUAGAACGCCUUCUAUGUGAUUCUGUCUGAAUCUUUACUAGGAAAGUUACAUUUACAGCUGACCUGCUGCUAAACUUGUUGGGAAUAAAUUAGUGACUCAAAUUCCUUUAUAGUUCAUGUUUCUAGAAGUUGGUUCCACGUCAGAGCUGAGGUUUUCUUGUUGCCUUCAGCAUGGAGAUUUAGCAGUUAUGGAAAGGAUGGGCUAGAGCUUUCUGCCAACUGCAUGUCAUUGGUGAAUCCAAGAGAGAAUCUAACUUAUCAAUUAAUAAUCUUUGCUAUUUAAACCAUGUUCUCUAUUUUCCAAGAACUUGGCUCUUGGUUGUACCUUUUAAAAAAUUCUACCAAGAUAUUUAAUUCACACAAAGGGGGAUUCUGAUCCGUGCUGUACAGGUGAGAGAUAACCAAAGUUUUGCCUCCUUUCUAAUGGGAUGGAGAAAUUAAGAAAAUUCAGGAAGGAUUAGAACUCAGAAUGCUCCAUGUUCUCUAGCCUUGAGAAUUCUGAGUGAGAGAGGAGGAUGUGGAACUCACUGGCUAAAUUCUAGGAAGACAGAACUCUAGAGCUUUGAAAAGGGACCCCAGAGUUCAUCUCAUCCAACAGUUUAAUUUUGAUGAUGACCGAGGAAAGGAGCCGAAACGUUGCUGUGCCUGGUAGCUCAUCAGAGAAAGGCAGAGGGGCCAGGCGGCAUCAUUGCCCCCACUCAGACUCCCGCCCACUGCCUCCAUGCUUGCUCACACCAGCAUGAAGCCAGGAAAUAAAAAUAAACACUUAUCGUGAAUUCA
Molecule: long non-coding RNA, 10639 nt
Organism: Equus caballus (horse)
Lineage: Eukaryota; Metazoa; Chordata; Mammalia; Perissodactyla; Equidae
Source: RefSeq, a predicted model, not a curated record